This 253-nucleotide ribosomal RNA is filed under the name uncultured bacterium. Its description in RNAcentral is "partial 16S ribosomal RNA". It matches the Rfam family "Bacterial small subunit ribosomal RNA", at positions 524 to 776 of the family's 1533-position model. The record is from RNAcentral.
UACGGAGGGGGCUAGCGUUGUUCGGAAUUACUGGGCGUAAAGCGCGCGUAGGCGGACCUGCAAGUCGGGGGUGAAAGCCCGAGGCUCAACCUCGGAACUGCCUUCGAUACUGCGGGUCUCGAGUCCGGGAGAGGUGAGUGGAAUUCCUAGUGUAGAGGUGAAAUUCGUAGAUAUUCGCAAGAACACCAGUGGCGAAGGCGGCUCACUGGCCCGGUACUGACGCUGAGGUGCGAAAGCGUGGGGAGCAAACAGG